GGGUGACCAGAAGAUUCUGGGUCUACUGGAUUUUGAAAAAAGGCAGACAGCAGAGUGAGACGGAGACAGUCUGGAGAGCCAGCCAGCAGAACUCUGCACAGCUGUAUUCUCCACCUCCCACCUUGCGCCCUGCUGUCCCCGGGGUCGUGGACCAGCAGAGGGUGGGCAGGAGACCGCAUUCACAGUGUGGCUCCUCACUGUCAUCCCAGAGUCUCCCCUCACGAGCACCCCGGCUGCAGGGUGUAACCUGAGGCCCUAGCAGGGCCCAUGGAGCUUCUGCUGCUUUUCCCCGGGGGCCCUGAUGUGACAUUUCUCGUCCAGGAAGAGGAUGGAAGAUGAUAAAUUGAGCCACGCAGAGGAGAGGUAACUCCCUCCUGUCCUCAGAGUGUCCCGAAGACCCUCCUUUGCCUGGUGAGUGACAUACUAGAGCCCGCACGGUGACAGCUCAGGUAUGUGGCACCCCUCGGACCCACCCCUCCCUGGGUGGAGUGGCCCAGCUGUGGUGGGCACUUCCUCACCCAGCCGUGGGCACAGGCCAGACCCUGAGCCCAGCGGCCCUGUAAUUUCAGAUGUAGCUGGGCAUGUGUGUGUUAUUGGGUGAUACUUAAAUCCUAACCUUUUCAAAAGCAAACCCAAGUAAGCACAUAUUGGAGAACCAUAAUUCCAAGCUUGGAGGCCUCCCUCAAGGCGAUGGGGAGUGUGGCAUCGUGACCGCUAACCCGGUCCCUCCGCGGCCUUGGGUUUAAAAGCGUCUGUGUCCAGCCGGGAGGUGAACUCCUGACAGCAACGCCCGUCCAGCCCACACCUCUGCCUGGCAGUGUGCAGCAGGACCCCUGAAGCCCAAGUCGAGAGCAGCGCCUGGUCUCCACCCGAGACUGGGUGGCGGAGAAGCGCUGCCUCUGACCUCAGUGAGCAUGGAGAGGCGGUGACAGGUUUGGACAGUAGAGAUUUCAGCAAUUUCUGGAAGGGCUUCAUUUGAGGCUGGGUCCGAGCACCGCCCCGCAGCCUUCCUGGCCCCAGCCCUUCACAGGAGCCUGCUCGGGGAGCCUCGUGGGCGUCAAUGGAGCUGGACGGGGGGCUUCCUCUGCACCCCCAGUGCAGAGUCUGAACAGGACCUGCCUCGGAAGCAGAAUCGGAUUCCGCUGACUGGGACAACGUCACGUGACAGCGAGUCCAGCGCCCGGGGCCUGGGAGAACAAAGGCGGCUGACCCGUCACAGGAGCUGCACGGCAAUGCAUCUGAGACCAUGCGGUGUCACCUUCACAGAAGUGCUCUGGCACAGAGACUCCAGCCUUGCCGGCCUCUCGCCUCCCAAGCACAGAAGCCUCCAGAACGCUGCUUCAAGGACAAGCCCAGGAGACCUGCCAUGCUCAUGCGUGUCUUUGGAAACAGGUUCUCUAAAUUUUGCUUGUGGUUUGUUAAAAAAAAAAAAAAAAUCAGAAGUGUAAUCAAAGACUUCAACAAACGAAGCACCAAAACACUUCAGCUUUGAAAUGUAGAAUUGCAAUGACUGGAAACACGGCUCGCAAAGCAAAAGACAUUAAAAUUCAGUCAUCCCUACAGAAGCCGGACAGGAAUUGAUCACAUCCACUAGUGAAGGCUCAGAAAGUGACAAGAUUUCAUUUGGAAAUCGUACCUGUGUCCUUGGGAACAUCCUGAACCUUGGGAAGCAUCAGCUCAUGGAGUUCCUAUUAACUGGAUAAAUUUAUAUUCUAGAUUGAAAUGGAAUGGAAUUAAGUAGGCCCACGGUUUUGCAGCACGUACAUUUGAAGAAUCAUUAAAAAUCAUCAUAGAAACAAUUUAUUUGACGAGAUUUGUCUUGUACAAAUAUUUGUUAAAUAUUUGUACUCCGAACGGAGGCCAAAAGACAGCACCUGUGGGAAACUUUAGGCUGAAAUAUUUACACAUUUCAACGCAAAAUGUCAGAACUGAGAAUCUGCCGUGUGCUCACAAGGUACCCCAACCCUGCAGAGAGAGACAAUUUUCUUGAUCCAAAUGUCAUCAUCUACCCAGAAGUGUCCAUGGACAGCACAGAUUCACAUUCUGGGGCCGUUAAAAUGUGAAUGUGAGCUAUCAAUGGACACUUCUGGGUAGAUCAUGACCUUUGGAUUAAUUAAGAUUGAUCCAGGCCCGGCGCAGUGGCUCAUGCCUGUAAUCCCAACACUUUGGGAGGCCGAGGUGGGCAUAUCACUAGAGGUCGGGAGUUCGAGUCCAGCCUGGCCAAUUUGGUAAAAACUGUCUCUACUGAAAAUACAAAAAUUAGCUGGGCACGGUGGCAGGUGCCUUUAAUCCCAGCUGCUUGGGAGGCUGAGGCAUGAGAAUCGCUUGAACCCAGGAGGAAGAGGUUGCCGUGAGCCAAGAUUGCGCCACUGCACUCUAGCCUGGGUGACAGAGUGAGACUCCAUCUCAAAACAAACAAACAAACAAACAACCCAAAAAAUUAGC
Molecule: long non-coding RNA, 2445 nt
Filed under: Homo sapiens (human)
Lineage: Eukaryota; Metazoa; Chordata; Mammalia; Primates; Hominidae
Description: HSALNT0278823
Source: RNAcentral